GCCAGGCAUGGUGGUGGGUACCUGUAAUCCCAGCUACUUGGGAGGCUGAGGCAGGAGAAUUGCUUGCGCCCGGGAGGUGGAGGUUGCAGUGAGCCAUGAUUGUACCACUGCACUCCAGCCUGGGCGAUAGAGCAAGACUCAGUCUCAA
RNAcentral lists this non-coding RNA (148 nucleotides) under Pan troglodytes (chimpanzee). Lineage: Eukaryota; Metazoa; Chordata; Mammalia; Primates; Hominidae. The record is from Rfam by way of RNAcentral.